This 220-nucleotide long non-coding RNA is filed under the name Eucalyptus grandis. RNAcentral describes it as "long non-coding RNA (EGRA_LNC007230)". Lineage: Eukaryota; Viridiplantae; Streptophyta; Magnoliopsida; Myrtales; Myrtaceae. The record is from RNAcentral.
GUGGUAAUCAGGGAAGUCUGUUGCAUCUGUUAAACAGUACAACCUUGAGUAUAUAUUGGAGAUGCAAGCAAUGUCAACUGAACCUCAUGGCACUUUCUCCUCCUAGUCUAAUUUGCAACAAAACGAAAUACCUGCUGUAAGUUGCAGUAGCUUCCCAACAUUGUCAACUGCUAAUGAGCCUUGACGUAAUUGACUCAAGGCUUGUCCCCUCCCUAAUGCU